Molecule: ribosomal RNA, 482 nt
Filed under: uncultured bacterium
Lineage: Bacteria
Description: partial 16S ribosomal RNA
Rfam family: Bacterial small subunit ribosomal RNA
Source: RNAcentral
AUUGAACGCUGGCGGCAUGCUUUACACAUGCAAGUCGAACGGUAACAGGCCGCAAGGUGCUGACGAGUGGCGAACGGGCGAGUAAUGCAUCGGAACGUGCCCAGUCGUGGGGGAUAACUACUCGAAAGAGUAGCUAAUACCGCAUACGAUCUAUGGAUGAAAGCGGGGGACCGUAAGGCCUCGCGCGAUUGGAGCGGCCGAUGUCAGAUUAGGUAGUUGGUGGGGUAAAGGCUCACCAAGCCAACGAUCUGUAGCUGGUCUGAGAGGACGACCAGCCACACUGGGACUGAGACACGGCCCAGACUCCUACGGGAGGCAGCAGUGGGGAAUUUUGGACAAUGGGCGCAAGCCUGAUCCAGCAAUGCCGCGUGCAGGAAGAAGGCCUUCGGGUUGUAAGCUGCUUUUGUACGGAACGAAACGGCUCUGGUUAAUACCCGGGGCUAAUGACGGUACCGUAAGAAUAAGCACCGGCUAACUACGUG